This 654-nucleotide ribosomal RNA is filed under the name bacterium SL2.38. Its description in RNAcentral is "bacterial SSU rRNA". It matches the Rfam family "Bacterial small subunit ribosomal RNA", at positions 60 to 761 of the family's 1533-position model. The record is from RNAcentral.
AGUCGACGAAGUCUUCGGACUUAGUGGCAGACGGGUGAGUAACGCGUGGGAACAUGCCCAUCGGUUCGGAAUAACCAAGGGAAACUUUGGCUAAUACCGGAUACGCCCCUUGGGGGAAAGAUUUAUCGCCGAUGGAUUGGCCCGCGUCUGAUUAGCUUGUUGGUGAGGUAAUGGCUCACCAAGGCGACGAUCAGUAGCUGGUCUGAGAGGAUGAUCAGCCACACUGGGACUGAGACACGGCCCAGACUCCUACGGGAGGCAGCAGUGGGGAAUAUUGGACAAUGGGCGCAAGCCUGAUCCAGCCAUGCCGCGUGAGUGAUGAAGGCCUUAGGGUUGUAAAGCUCUUUUAUCCGGGACGAUAAUGACGGUACCGGAAGAAUAAGCCCCGGCUAACUUCGUGCCAGCAGCCGCGGUAAUACGAAGGGGGCUAGCGUUGCUCGGAAUCACUGGGCGUAAAGGGCGCGUAGGCGGAUAUUUAAGUCGGGGGUGAAAGCCCGGGGCUCAACCCCGGAAUUGCCUCCGAUACUGGGUAUCUCGAGACCGGAAGAGGUAAGUGGAACUGCGAGUGUAGAGGUGAAAUUCGUAGAUAUUCGCAAGAACACCAGUGGCGAAGGCGGCUUACUGGUCCGGUUCUGACGCUGAGGCGCGAAAGCG